CGCGGGGUGGAGCAGUUUGGUAGCUCGUUGGGCUCAUAACCCAAAGGUCGUUGGUUCAAAUCCAACCCCCGCAACCA
Molecule: transfer RNA, 77 nt
Filed under: candidate division KSB3 bacterium
Lineage: Bacteria
Also listed under: 2 other names
Description: tRNA-Met
Rfam family: tRNA
About the family: Transfer RNA (tRNA) molecules are approximately 80 nucleotides in length. Their secondary structure includes four short double-helical elements and three loops (D, anti-codon, and T loops).
Source: RNAcentral